GGGCCAUAGGCGCAACGGAUAACGCGCUUGACUACGGUUCAGGAGAUUUCAGGUUCGAAUUCUGGCUGGUUCA
This 73-nucleotide transfer RNA is filed under the name Trichonephila inaurata madagascariensis. It matches the Rfam family "tRNA". Rfam says of the family: Transfer RNA (tRNA) molecules are approximately 80 nucleotides in length. Their secondary structure includes four short double-helical elements and three loops (D, anti-codon, and T loops). Lineage: Eukaryota; Metazoa; Arthropoda; Arachnida; Araneae; Nephilidae. The record is from Rfam by way of RNAcentral.